This 459-nucleotide long non-coding RNA is filed under the name Equus caballus (horse). Its description in RNAcentral is "lncRNA (ENSECAG00000053985.1)". The record is from RNAcentral. Lineage: Eukaryota; Metazoa; Chordata; Mammalia; Perissodactyla; Equidae.
UCAAACUGGUGUCUGUUGUAUGAGGCGAUAAGAGUUUUUAAUCAGACACACAGCUUAUUUAUUUUUUUCAGAAAUAUAGGAGGGAAGGAUCCUUCUAGAGAAAUGUUACUGCAAUAACCUUGACACUAAUUACUAAAUAUUAAACGAACAUUUUAAUAUUAAGAGUGCAAUAGAAAUGUGCAGCUGGUUAUACCUGGGUGAAAUGUCCUCUACAUUCUAUGACUGUUUGUUAUACAUCUCCUAGCAAAGAUGACACUCCUGGUAUGAUAUUUACCAAGCUUGAGAAAAUCCAGAUGUGUCUCUAGGCAGCAAGUCUGAGGAAACUUUUAGCUGAUUCCAGCUGAUGGAGUAGCUUCUAUUUGGAACAUUGCCAUCAUUUGGGGAAACCAAAUCGUGUGUCCAUGUUUCCUUCAACAAGAUAGGAAUGUAUAACUCUCCCACAAAGAAGGGGCCUUGCAG